AUAUAUUCUGCCAUGGCCAAGGUCUUAGAACUCAGUCUUAUAAAUUACAUAGGAUCUCUCCUCAUCUAUCAAGAUCGAUAGAUUCUAUGUAAGUGCAUACGCUACUCCUAUAGUGAACCUACUGCUGCUAAUCUACACAACAAAGACUCAUAUGACUAGAGACCAUAUACAUGUGCAGUCAAACUACAAUAACCUCACUGUGAAUAGCCGAAGCACCGUAGGUCAAAGAACCAGUCACACUACUGCAACAUCAAGCAAGUCACUAAUGAGUGGAUAGACAUCUAAGUGACUUCUUGUCUUGAUCACGCUCAGUACCCUUGUUCUCUAACAAGCACCUACACUAUCACUUCAGUGUCCCUACACUGUCGUCCAUCCAUAAGAAAAGCGAUCUGUGCACUGAUCGGAUCGAUCACCGUCCUCGUGAU
This 425-nucleotide long non-coding RNA is filed under the name Phoenix dactylifera (date palm). Its description in RNAcentral is "long non-coding RNA (PDAC_LNC013648)". The record is from RNAcentral. Lineage: Eukaryota; Viridiplantae; Streptophyta; Magnoliopsida; Arecales; Arecaceae.